RNAcentral lists this ribosomal RNA (254 nucleotides) under uncultured bacterium. Its description in RNAcentral is "partial 16S ribosomal RNA". It matches the Rfam family "Bacterial small subunit ribosomal RNA", at positions 524 to 776 of the family's 1533-position model. The record is from RNAcentral.
UACGUAGGGACCAAGCGUUGCUCGGAAUCACUGGGCGUAAAGGGUGCGUAGGCGGGUCUUUAAGUCAGGGGUGAAAUCCUGGAGCUCAACUCCAGAACUGCCUUUGAUACUGAAGAUCUUGAGUCCGGGAGAGGUGAGUGGGAACUGCGAAGUGUAGAGGGUGAAAUUCGUAGAUAUCGCAAGAACACCCGUGGCGAAGGCGGCUCUCUGGGACGGUACUGACGCUGAGACGCGAAAGCGUGGGAGCGAACAGG